This 648-nucleotide ribosomal RNA is filed under the name Salmonella enterica subsp. enterica serovar Typhimurium var. 5-. RNAcentral describes it as "bacterial LSU rRNA". It matches the Rfam family "Bacterial large subunit ribosomal RNA", at positions 566 to 1211 of the family's 2925-position model. The record is from RNAcentral. Lineage: Bacteria; Pseudomonadati; Pseudomonadota; Gammaproteobacteria; Enterobacterales; Enterobacteriaceae.
ACAAAACAAGCGGUGAAUGCUUUGGGGUGGGGUGACUGCGUACCUUUUGUAUAAUGGGUCAGCGACUUAUAUUCUGUAGCAAGGUUAACCGUAUAGGGGAGCCGGAGGGAAACCGAGUCUUAACCGGGCGUUAAGUUGCAGGGUAUAGACCCGAAACCCGGUGAUCUAGCCAUGGGCAGGUUGAAGGUUGGGUAACACUAACUGGAGGACCGAACCGACUAAUGUUGAAAAAUUAGCGGAUGACCUGUGGCUGGGGGUGAAAGGCCAAUCAAACCGGGAGAUAGCUGGUUCUCCCCGAAAGCUAUUUAGGUAGCGCCUCGUGAAUUCAUCUCCGGGGGUAGAGCACUGUUUCGGCUAGGGGGCCAUCCCGGCUUACCAACCCGAUGCAAACUGCGAAUACCGGAGAAUGUUAUCACGGGAGACACACGGCGGGUGCUAACGUCCGUCGUGAAGAGGGAAACAACCCAGACCGCCAGCUAAGGUCCCAAAGUCAUGGUUAAGUGGGAAACGAUGUGGGAAGGCCCAGACAGCCAGGAUGUUGGCUUAGAAGCAGCCAUCAUUUAAAGAAAGCGUAAUAGCUCACUGGUCGAGUCGGCCUGCGCGGAAGAUGUAACGGGGCUAAACCAUGCACCGAAGCUGCGGCAGCGA